UAGGCGGCGUGUCAAGUCAAUUGUGAAAUCUCCGAGCUUAACUCGGAACGGUCAAUUGAUACUGAUGUGCUAGAGUGCAGAAGGGGCAAUCGGAAUUCUUGGUGUAGCGGUGAAAUGCGUAGAUAUCAAGAGGAACACCUGAGGUGAAGACGGGUUGCUGGGCUGACACUGACGCUGAGGCGCGAAAGCUAGGGUAGCAAACGGGAUUAGAUACCCCGGUAGUCCUAGCCCUAAACGAUGAAUACUUGGUGUCUGGAGUUUUAAUUCUCCGGGUGCCGUCGCUAACGUUUUUAGUAUUCCGCCUGGGGAGUACGCACGCAAGUGUGAAACUCAAAGGAAUUGACGGGGGCCCGCACAAGCAGCGGAGCGUGUGGUUUAAUUCGACGCAACGCGAAGAACCUUACCUAGACUUGACAUGCACGUGGUAAGACCUGGAAACAGGGAUGACCCGCAAGGGAGCGUGCACAGAUGCUGCACGGCUGUCGUCAGCUCGUGCCGUGAGGUGUUGGGUUAAGUCCCGCAACGAGCGCAACCCUCGCUGCCAGUUACCAUGUCUGGCGGGACCGCCGGGUCCAACCCGGAGGAAGGUGGGGAUGACGUCAAGUCAGCAUGGCUCUUACGUCUAGGGCUACACACACGCUACAAUGGCCGGUACAAAGGGCUGCGAUGGGGUGACCCGGAGCGAAUCCCGCCAAAGCCGGUCUCAGUUGGGAUUGCAGGCUGCAACUCGCCUGCAUGAACGAGGAGUUGCUAGUAACCGCAGGUCAGCAC
This 771-nucleotide ribosomal RNA is filed under the name uncultured Acidobacteriota bacterium. RNAcentral describes it as "bacterial SSU rRNA". It matches the Rfam family "Bacterial small subunit ribosomal RNA", at positions 572 to 1355 of the family's 1533-position model. The record is from RNAcentral. Lineage: Bacteria; Pseudomonadati; Acidobacteriota.